GAUGAACGCUGGCGGCGUGCCUAAUACAUGCAAGUCGAGCGAACAGACGAGGAGCUUGCUCCUCUGACGUUAGCGGCGGACGGGUGAGUAACACGUGGAUAACCUACCUAUAAGACUGGGAUAACUUCGGGAAACCGGAGCUAAUACCGGAUAAUAUAUUGAACCGCAUGGUUCAAUAGUGAAAGACGGUUUUGCCGUCACUUAUAGAUGGAUCCGCGCCGCAUUAGCUAGUUGGUAAGGUAACGGCUUACCAAGGCAACGAUGCGUAGCCGACCUGAGAGGGUGAUCGGCCACACUGGAACUGAGACACGGUCCAGACUCCUACGGGAGGCAGCAGUAGGGAAUCUUCCGCAAUGGGCGAAAGCCUGACGGAGCAACGCCGCGUGAGUGAUGAAGGUCUUCGGAUCGUAAAACUCCGUUAUUAGGGAAGAACAAAUGUGUAAGUAACUAUGCACGUCUUGACGGUACCUAAUCAGAAAGCCACGGCUAACUACGUG
This 497-nucleotide ribosomal RNA is filed under the name uncultured bacterium. RNAcentral describes it as "partial 16S ribosomal RNA". It matches the Rfam family "Bacterial small subunit ribosomal RNA", at positions 28 to 507 of the family's 1533-position model. The record is from RNAcentral.